This 525-nucleotide long non-coding RNA is filed under the name Olea europaea (common olive). RNAcentral describes it as "long non-coding RNA (OEUR_LNC000136)". The record is from RNAcentral. Lineage: Eukaryota; Viridiplantae; Streptophyta; Magnoliopsida; Lamiales; Oleaceae.
UUGAUUUGGCUUGCAAUUGCUUGUUGGUGAUUGGCCAAAGCUUGUUGGCGUGGUUGAGUAUAUGUGAGACAAAGAGUCUAAAGGUUAACAGGUAGUUCCAAUUUGAUUGGCGUGUUUGUGGUUGGAAGACAGUUAAUGACGAUGACAGUAGUUGUAGGGUGCGACUCGAACCGGUGAGAUGGGCACGGAGGGGUCAAGUUGCAGGAAGGUUGCAGCUGAAUAGUGGCGUGGAAAAGUAGUGGUAGCGGCUUGUGGCUGUUACAUGCGAAGGAGAUGGAGGUCGAGAUGGGUGUGAUGGCGUUGAUUUGGCUAAAUCGGUAGAUGGUGUAGUGGAGGCGAGGAGACUGGACUCUGAUUGAAGAGCGUUGUCGGGGGUUUUGAGGGUUGCUGGCGAGUGAUGCGGCUGAGGGAUGCCGGUGUGGGCGUCUGCAAGUGACGCUGCUGAGAGAACAACGGUGUUGAGGUCGACUUCUGGCAGCGGUGUAAUGGGUUGAUUAUGUGGGCUAGGUAAUGGGUGUGUUAGGA